UGGGAACAGCGCCCCCUGCUGCUCGUGCUCCUUCCUGCCUCCCGCCCAGCCAACCAGGAGCCCCCCCCCCCCCCCCCCCCACCAGGAGCUUGGGGCCAGGGAGGCUAUGGGGCCCCUUCCGGGGCAUCUGAGCCUCUCCCGGAGCCCUGCCCUCCCGUGGGUGCGCGUUCCUCGAAGGGUGGCGCUUUAAGGAAAGCAGAGGCUCCGCUGUCAGGACCUACAGGGAACGGGAGGCAGAUUGUCCACGGUCCAGCCUUCACGACUGGGCUCUGCGGGUGUCCCCGGGCACCCGGCCAGGCCCUCUCUGGUCCGCCACUGUCAUCCGCUCUCCGACACCGCCCACAAAUGCUGGGCACUAUUUUGUUGGCAUAAAUGUGUCAUCCAUUCGUGUGCAUUUGCUCCCCCUCACCGCUCCCAUGUUUAAGGCUCUUCGUGAGCAAGAACAAGAUAAAAAAAGAGAAAAGAGAAACAAAGCAAAGCAAAUAAAAGGGGGGGGGGAGGGAAGACACAUAAUGGGAAGCCAGAAAUGAGGGUAAUAUGCAAACUGUUAUUACCACAAGAGGAUAUUUUUAGCGCAUGCCCAUAAAUUUGUCUCCGAGCUUCCUGGUAGCCAGGGCAAAGAGGGAAACGUGAUGUCCAUGUGAUGGAAACGAGCCCAUUAUCCCAGGCAGCCUAUUGUUUCUCACCGUCGAGGAGAGAAGGGCCCCCCGGGGAGCCUCAGAAAGAAGAUGCUGCCGACGUCCUGACAGCACGCUCCGCGGUGGGGCCUGUGUGGCUCCUCGUGCAGUAUUCCUCGGUGGGGACCCGGGCCAACACAGCUCAGGGAUCCCGCGAGACGCUCCAUUGGCCAGCAGGCGUGACCUGCAUUCUCCUGGGGGUUUGCCACUCCUUCAGCACUGGGGCCUGCGCUUGGCAGAAAGUUGUAGAAGCUAAGUCGGGAGCAGGGGCUGAGAUCCUGAGGUUGGUGGGAACCGCCUCACCCGCCCACUCAUGAGCACACGUGCCCCACGCCAGGCCUCCGCAGGUGCCACACGGCCACAGGCAAAGAGAUCCACGAACCCUUGUUCCGUGAACGGGCUGGGCUCAGCCCAUGUAGUUUGGGGCACACAAGACAGCAGGGCAAGAAGGUUCUAGAAGAGGGGAGAGGGUCUGUGGGGACUGAGGGCCCUGGGAACCGUGUAGCAAGGGCCACAGAUGCUGCCGUGGGACCGUCUAAGAAAACGUAGCUCAGGGACUGAGGCGUUGUCCCCAGGUCAGCGCUGGUGUGGGGGGGGGGACUGGCGUCACGGCCGCAGAAGCCAGCCGGAGGGUGGUCCUGGCCCUGCGCUCUGCCCUAUCUAUGAGCUCGUGACAAGUGCCUUCUGGGGGACACCCUCACAUCCUUGGGCAAAGGGGGAUACUUCCCGUGGGGCUCCGGGUCCUGCACCUGCGGACGAGGGUUCUUGCUGUAAACAGUGACCUUGCCUCUGGGGUGCAGUUAUGAUACGACCACCAUCUAGGUCAUGCCUGACCCGGCUCCAGGCGGCAGCCCCUUGCGGAGAGGGACAGUGUCUCAUCUCCCCAGGGCUGGAGCACGCUGGGCGUCACACGGCGUUACCACCCACGAUUGGAAUGGAAUUGAGCGCAUCCGGGCCGGACCUGGGCUGGGCCGGGGUCUGCCUCCCCUCCCCCUCCAUCCCGGGGCACCCCCUGCCGUGCCUCUAGCUCUGCAGAGAGCCGGACGGGGUUGCCCCGGGCCCUGGUCCUCGGGCCGAGCUGUCCAAACGCCGGGCAGGCUCUACCCCGUCCCCUGACCCUCGUCCAGGCCUGGGCUUCACAUGGGGUGAGGUCAUAGCUUAUGUCACUUGGGGACCUCAAAGACCAUCCCGGGCCACACCUCGGCCUGUGAUAAGACUCAUCAGGCCACAUCAGUGGGUGACUCAGAGGGUGGGGUGGCCGGGGGUCAGUGGCCUGGGAGCAUCUGUCUGCCGUCCCCUCCCCUUGGCAUCCACCACACUUAGAGGAAGCCAGUCCCUCUGAGAGGGCGACCUUACCCUUCCCGGGGGGAAGGAAACUUGGGGGCCUGGCAGGGGGCCACUCCAGGACCCGGGGAUUGGAGGGCCUUCCUGAGUGGGUGGCAUUCGAGAGGGGCUCCGACCACCAGGGCAGGGGCUGCAGGAAGGGGGUGCAAGAAGGCAGGACACCUGGAGGGACAAGAUGAUUCCUCAGCUCCCGGUCCUUCAGGGUCAGCGACAGAAAGCCCCGCUCCAACUGGCCUCAACAAAAGGGAAUUGACGCGGUGGGCUGGCAUCAGGUAUGGCCCGAUCCAGGGACUCCGAAUGUCCUCCGGCCCGUGUGGAUUGUGUUCCCCUGGUGCUGGCUGCAUGACGGCCACCAGCAGAGCCAGGCACCGUGCUCCAGGGCGAGUCCCCAGCAGCCCUGCAGAAGUCUCAGUGCAUCUCAUUGGCCCUGGGGGCUCUCCUGUCCAUCCCUGACCUAGUCACGGAGGCAACGGAGUCCGGAGCUGCGUCCCGUCCGUGUCUGAUCACCUGCGGGCUCGGCGUUCUCCAGAGGACGAUGGUCCCCGCUGGCAGGAAGGUAUAUCCAGAGACCGAGCUGACAGAGGUGCUGGGUGACCGCACCAGGAGACGUGAGCAUCCCCUUCCCAGGCUUCCUGGCAGGGCCUCUGCUCACACACCUCUGAUGACGGGGAGCUCACCACCACCAAAGCAGUCCCUUCGGUUACUAGAAUGUUCUUCCUUUGAGUUAAAUUCUGCUCCUGUAACUCCCACCUUUGGACUCUGCUCGACCCCACAAGGCUGUAGAGAAUACAUCAGUCCCCUCAUGGACAAAAGGAGGCCGUAAACACCUGAGGCCGGUCCCCAGUUGUUUCUUCUCUAGUCAUUUGCUAGGUGACCUGGGGCCCCAGUUUCUUACCUGCUGGAGGAUGAGAAGAAAGAGGCUUCCUCCUGGGGCUCCCAAGAGCCAAAGGAGGAGAUGGGUGGGGUGCUAGGAUGCCUCCCAAGAUUCCUGCCCCCUAGUAUGCACACCCUGCGUAAUUCCCUUCCCCUUGACUGUGGGUGGGCCUGACCUAAUCAGGCAAGCCCUCAAAAGGAACUGGGCCCUUCCUGAAGUCUGAGGCUUAAAGCAUAGAGAGCUUGGAAGUGCGAGGGGCCCAGGAAGCGGGCCGCGGGGCAAGGACCCAGGGCGAUCUCUAGGAGCUGAGCAGACCCCAGCUGACAGCCAGCAAGAAAAUGGGAACCACAGUCCCGCAACCACGAGGAAUGAAUUCUGCAAACACCCCGAAGACGCUUUCCUCGCUGAGCCUCCGGCCGGGGGUGCUGCUGGCCGACCCCCUGCGAGACUUUGAGCCAGGACGAGCCACAGUGUGCCAGCCUCUUGACCCACGGAGACAGCGAGGCAAUGAAGGAGGCAAACCGAGGCCCGGGCAGGGCGAGUGGGUUGCUGAGACAACCAGGCUAAUCGACAUAAGGUCACAGGGACUGAGCCUCUCCCCUGCAGCGGCGCGAACCCUUCCGCCACGUCCUCCGAAGCAGCUGCUGUUACUGACAUGUUCAUUUCACGCAUGAAGAAAGCGGGGCCCAGAGAGGUCCAGUGACACCCCGAGGUCACACGGCAAGCGAGCCACAGAAUCCGGAUUCAAACCCAGGCAGCGGGACUGGAACCUCUCGUGCGCAAGUUGGUUGGGAACCGGCCGACGCCGAGGCCCAGGCGGGGAGGCUGAGCCAAGAUGGGCAGGGUAGGGGCCCGGCUGAUGGAAAUGAUGAAAUCGGGGCCCCCGGCCAGCAGGGCUUGGGCUCUUCCUUUUAAGACAACAACCCUCAGCUUCGUCUGCAGCCCAGGCCCUUCUUGGAAAUCACCCCGCCCUGCCCCAUCCCCCACGGGGGAGGUGUUGGACGUGACCCCUCUCCUGGGAGGGCACGGCCCGUCUGUUCCGUCAGGCUCGGCUGCUCUCAGGACCGCCAGCCCCACCCACCGGGCUGGUGGCCGCGGGCCUCCACCGCCUGCCUCCCGGGAGCCGUCCGGCCUUCAGGCCCCGAGGCCCUUCUCCGGCCUCGUGGGAGCCUCGGGCCGGGCGAUGCCCCGGGACAGUCACUCUGGCCGUCCAGGGUGUCAGGCAUGGGCAAACCUGCCAGGAGCCACGGGCAGGAGUCUGGAACCCCUUUCCCUGCGCCCCUGGGCCGAGCCGCUCUUCAGACCCCGUGAGCUGGGUCCUCCGGGGUCCCCGUGGGCCAGCUGUGCUGAAGAUGUGAGAAUCAGGACCCGUGACUCUGUAACCAUCCGAUGACCUUGAGGGGAGUGUCUGCCUUGGCACGAAGCCAUAUGAGAAGUGGAACUGAGGGGAGAGAUAAAGCAGAGCCUGGAUCCUGGGUCCUGGAUCAUGCCACGCCUGAAGCUGUACUCUGUUCUCAGCGAAUUAAGUCAAUAAUCAGCUGGGUUGGGUGUCCUGUGGUUACCCGCAACUUAGAUUGUUGCACAGGGGCCGUGUGCAGCCGGACCCUGACAGUAAAUAUAGAUUCACAAGGAGCACUCAGCCCAGGGGCGGGGGUUAUGCACCUACUGUUUACAGAGCGCCCAUGAUGUGCUGGGCACUGUCCCCUUUAUGUGCACACCGGGUCCCCACUUUACGCGUGGGGACCUGAGGCUAAGGCCUGUGAAAUGGCGGCUGGGGCUUGGCCCCUGCUUUGUCUCACCCAGAGCCUGUGUGGUUCCCCCUCCCCAGGCGGCCCGACCCCAGCGGCGGCCCAGAGCCCCGGCUCACUGGACAUCUGGAACCGGGAGCAUCUGGCUGCAGGCGGGAGGCCCGGGCAUGGCUGGCACCCGGAGCUCGCGGGGGGCGCACGGUGUAACCGCGAGCCAGCUCCAUGACGCAGCCGGCUCCCGACCCCGUGUGCUCAGUCUCUGACGCGUCCUGCCUGCCAUGUGACUGUCAGAGCCCCGUCUCUCCUCCUUCACACAGGCACACCUGGCCUCCGCACUCUUGUGCACUGUGCCUCUCGGAGGCUGCCAGGGCACCAGCUGACCAGCCGGCAGAGACCGGCGCCCCGGGCACUGAGUGCCCCCCUCCUUGAGGGCAGCUGCGCCCCACGCCUCCCACCCUCCUGGACGACGGUCUCUGCCCUCCGCCUACCUGUCCCGCCUUUGGCUUUCAUCCGCCCUCCGACCCACCCUGCCCCUGCCCCAGGUCCUGGCUGGCACCCCCUCGUUCCCAGGACGCCUCACAGCGGGGACUUCCUCCUCCGUCCCUCCGGGGUUCCGACCGCACACCCCAUCGCUGGCAUCUCCGGUUUGGAAAACUGUACCGGCUUCAGUGACACGUGAUUCACACGCCACACAAAGGACACGUGUCAGUGCGUUUUCAGUGUUCACAGACGUGUGCAGGCGUCCCCACACUUAAUUUUAGGACGCCCCCGAACAAACCCUGCGCCCGUUAGCUGCCACUCCCCCCCCCCCCCCGCCCCCCAGCAACCAGUAAUGUGCCUCCUCUGUCCCCGCAGACCCGCCCUCUCCGGACAUGUCAGGCACAUGGAGCCCUACAAGGUGUGGCACCUGUCGGCACUCUGUCCCCUUUCACAGCUGCACAGGGGGUCCACCGCACGGACACGCGACGCUUGGUUCAUCCAGUCACCGUCAAGGAGCAUUUGGGAGCGCACUCCCGGGAGCGGAAUUGCCGGGGCUCGCGGACCGGCCUCCGGAGGAGCCGCCAGCCCGUCUUCCCGGGUGACCGCAGUGCCCUCCGCCCCCGCCAGCAGCGCCCCGGGCUCCCGCCCUCUGCCUCCUUGUCAACCCUUGCUACUUUCUGUCUCCUAAAAAUGCAUUAAAAGUCACCCUAAUGUAUGUGAA
Long non-coding RNA from Prionailurus viverrinus (fishing cat), 5844 nucleotides. RefSeq lists it as uncharacterized. Lineage: Eukaryota; Metazoa; Chordata; Mammalia; Carnivora; Felidae. The transcript is spliced from 3 exons. The record is from RefSeq and is a predicted model, not a curated record.